Molecule: small nuclear RNA, 22 nt
Filed under: Arabidopsis thaliana (thale cress)
Lineage: Eukaryota; Viridiplantae; Streptophyta; Magnoliopsida; Brassicales; Brassicaceae
Description: snRNA_06965
Source: RNAcentral
GAGAUUUUGCUGUAACUGUGUU